AUUACCAUAAGGGAUCUGGUGUCAGCAGACCAAUUCAUUCCACUGUGGGGCUGGCCAUGACGUCACAAUCACAGGAGCAUGACGUCACUGGUGUGUCAGCUCCAGGAAGUUCCUGCCUAACUCAGACACACACAAGCCCAGGGAAGCGCUGCAGAGAGACCCUCAGGGAAGGAGUUCCACACCUGGGGCUUGACAAAAGACGUGGGUUUGCAGGGGGGAUUUGACGCAUGGGCAGUAAGAGCCUCUUCCUAGCACAGGAAAUUGGAAAUCAGUACACUCCCAGUAGUGUCUGUGCAGACCCAAGGAGAUGGGGGAGCAGUGAGAAUAACAAUGCCAAAAGCACCGGGAGAGGGGUAGGGUGUUUGAGUGAGAUGCCUCCGCAGCAGCUGGCCCUUCACGAGUGUGAUGAACUAGGAAUGUUCUUAAUGUUUUCUCUGAAUACUGUGUUGGUGCCUCAGUGUCCCCAUGGCAGUUCUUAAGUAUCUGGCAGAGCAAAGGGCCAGUGCACCUAAAUGCCUGGCACUCUGUCUCCUAGCAACUGAUGGCCUGGGCCCCUCCCCUGCAAAGGUGCCAGCUGAAGGUGUUGGAGACAAAGAGAUCAGGUGACCUCCUGGCCCGGGAAAGGGGCUGAGGAGAGAGGAGGGGCUGGGAGGGGUUGUUAGUCUGGAGCUGGCUGGGGUCGAGGGUGGAGGGCAGACCUGGGGGUCUGGCUCACUGCCCCCCAGAAUGGACCCGGCCGAGGGGUCCAGUUCGCUGUAUCUACAAGCUCUGUUUUAGACCCUGUUCCUGUCAUCGAAUAAACCUCUGUGUUACUGG
Gopherus flavomarginatus (Mexican gopher tortoise) is the source of this 816-nucleotide long non-coding RNA. RefSeq lists it as uncharacterized. The record is from RefSeq and is a predicted model, not a curated record. Lineage: Eukaryota; Metazoa; Chordata; Testudines; Testudinidae. The transcript is spliced from 2 exons.